CUAACUGGAAAGUAUGGAGAAGACUCUAAGCUUAUCUAUGACCUAAAGGACCAGGGUGGGGAGUUGCUGUCCCUUCGUUAUGACCUCACUGUUCCUUUUGCUCGGUAUUUAGCAAUGAAUAAACUGACCAACAUUAAACGCUACCAUAUAGCAAAGGUGUAUCGGCGGGAUAAUCCAGCCAUGACCCGUGGCCAAUACCAGGAAUUCUACCAGUGUGAUUUUGACAUUGCUGGGCAAUUUGACCCUAUGGUCCCUGAUGCAGAGUGCUUGAAGAUCAUGUGUGAGAUCCUGAGUUCACUUCAGAUAGGAGACUUCCUGGUCAAGGUCAAUGACCGAUGCAUCCUAGAUGGCAUGUUCGCUAUUUGUGGUGUUCCAGAUAGCAAGUUCCGUACCAUCUGUUCCUCAGUGGACAAGCUGGACAAGGUAUCCUGGGAGGAUGUCAAGAAUGAGAUGGUGGGAGAGAAGGGCCUUGCACCUGAAGUGGCUGACCGCAUUGGAGACUAUGUCCAGCAACAUGGCGGUGUGUCUCUGGUGAAGCAACUGCUCCAGGAUCCUAAACUAUCCCAAAACAAGCAAGCCUUGGAAGGCCUGGGAGAUCUGAAGCUGCUGUUUGAGUAUCUGACAUUGUUUGGCAUUGCUGACAAGAUCUCUUUCGAUCUGAGCCUUGCUCGAGGUCUAGACUACUAUACAGGGGUGAUCUAUGAAACUGUGCUACUACAGAUCCCAGCCCAGGCAGGGGAAGAGCCCCUUGGUGUGGGCAGUGUGGCUGCUGGAGGGCGCUAUGAUGGGCUGGUGGGCAUGUUUGACCCCAAAGGGCGCAAGGGACCCUGUGUGGGGCUCAGCAUUGGAGUGGAGCGAAUCUUCUCCAUCGUGGAGCAGAGACUAGAGGCUUCAGAGGAGAAGGUACGGACCACAGAAACACAGGUGCUUGUGGCAUCUGCACAGAAGAAGCUAUUGGAAAAGAGACUGAAGCUUGUCUCAGAGCUGUGGGAUGCUGGUAUCAAGGCUGAGCUGCUCUACAAGAAGAACCCAAAGUUACUGAACCAGUUGCAGUACUGUGAGGAAGCAAGCAUCCCCCUGGUGACCAUAAUCGGUGAACAGGAGCUCAAGGAUGGGGUCGUCAAGCUGCGUUUGGUGGCCAGCAGGGAAGAGGUGGAUGUCCAAAGAGAAGACCUUGUGGAACAAAUUAAAAGAAGAACAAGCCAGCCUCUCUGCAUCUGCUGAGCCAAGCAAACUUAUCAGAGGAAGGUGGGACUGACACUAUUUGAGGCUAAAGCUGCAUUUGUGCUUAAACAGUUUUGCACACUUUUAUUCCCAAGAAGACCUGAAGAGUGGUCAGAACAGAGACUUUAUUUUUAUUAUGAUUGGCAGAUGACUGGAUACUACAUCACUUUCUACAGAGCGCCAUGGGGCGCCAUGGGGAAUUAAGCCAGACCACCUCAGGCCUGACAUGGGCUCCACAGGGCACCGUUCCAGAUGGAACUGAUGCCUUCCU
Octodon degus (degu) is the source of this 1495-nucleotide RNA transcript. It is a transcript of the gene named histidine--tRNA ligase, cytoplasmic pseudogene, with no coding region annotated. The transcript has a single exon. The record is from RefSeq and is a predicted model, not a curated record. Lineage: Eukaryota; Metazoa; Chordata; Mammalia; Rodentia; Octodontidae.